CAGCAGUAGGGAAUAUUGGACAAUGGACGCAAGUCUGAUCCAGCCAUGCCGCGUGCAGGAUGACAGCCCUCUGGGUUGUAAACUGCUUUUAUAUGAGAAGAAACCCUCAGAUGCGUUUGAGGCUGACGGUAUCAUAUGAAUAAGGAUCGGCUAACUUCGUGCCAGCAGCCGCGGUAAGACGAAGGAUCCAAGCGUUGUCCGGAUUUACUGGGUUUAAAGGAUGCGUAGGCGGACACUUAAGCCAGUGGUGAAAUCCCAUAGCUCAACUAUGGAACUGCCAUUGGAACUGUGUGUCUUGAAUUCGGUUGAGGUAGAUGGAAUAUAACAUGUAGCGGUGAAAUGCUUAGAUAUGUUAUAGAACACCGAUUGCGAAGGCAGUCUACUAAGCCGACAUUGACGCUGAGGCAUGAAAGCGUGGGGAGCGAACAGGAUUAGAUACCCUGGUAGUCCACGCCCUAAACGUUGAUUACUCGCUGUUAGCGAUAUACUGUUAGCGGCUAAGCGAAAGCGUUAAGUAAUCCACCUGGGAAGUACGACCGCAAGGUUGAAACUCAAAUGAAUU
RNAcentral lists this ribosomal RNA (562 nucleotides) under uncultured Bacteroidota bacterium. Its description in RNAcentral is "bacterial SSU rRNA". It matches the Rfam family "Bacterial small subunit ribosomal RNA", at positions 349 to 911 of the family's 1533-position model. Lineage: Bacteria; Pseudomonadati; Bacteroidota. The record is from RNAcentral.